This 72-nucleotide transfer RNA is filed under the name Rikenella microfusus. RNAcentral describes it as "tRNA-Gln(ctg)". It matches the Rfam family "tRNA". From Rfam's summary of the family: Transfer RNA (tRNA) molecules are approximately 80 nucleotides in length. Their secondary structure includes four short double-helical elements and three loops (D, anti-codon, and T loops). Further hydrogen bonds mediate the characteristic L-shaped molecular structure. tRNAs have two regions of fundamental functional importance: the anti-codon, which is responsible for specific mRNA codon recognition, and the 3' end, to which the tRNAs corresponding amino acid is attached (by aminoacyl-tRNA synthetases). tRNAs cope with the degeneracy of the genetic code in two manners: having more than one tRNA (with a specific anti-codon) for a particular amino acid; and 'wobble' base-pairing, i.e. permitting non-standard base-pairing at the 3rd anti-codon position. Lineage: Bacteria; Pseudomonadati; Bacteroidota; Bacteroidia; Bacteroidales; Rikenellaceae. The record is from RNAcentral.
UGACCCGUGGUGUAAUGGUAACACUACAGAUUCUGGUUCUGUCUUUCUGGGUUCGAGUCCUAGCGGGUCAAC